This 489-nucleotide ribosomal RNA is filed under the name uncultured bacterium. Its description in RNAcentral is "bacterial SSU rRNA". It matches the Rfam family "Bacterial small subunit ribosomal RNA", at positions 28 to 507 of the family's 1533-position model. The record is from RNAcentral.
GAUGAACGCUAGCGAUAGGCCUAACACAUGCAAGUCGAGGGGCAUCACAUGAGGCAGCAAUGCCGAUGGUGGCGACCGGCGCACGGGUGAGUAACACGUAUGCAACCUGCCUUCAACAAGGGGAUAACCCGUUGAAAAACGGACUAAUACCCUAUAAUACAGGGGUCCCGCAUGGGGAUAUUUGUUAAAGAUUGAUCGGUUGAAGAUGGGCAUGCGUUCCAUUAGCUGGUUGGUGAGGUAACGGCCCACCAAGGCAACGAUGGAUAGGGGAACUGAGAGGUUUAUCCCCCACACUGGUACUGAGACACGGACCAGACUCCUACGGGAGGCAGCAGUGAGGAAUAUUGGUCAAUGGGCGAGAGCCUGAACCAGCCAAGUCGCGUGCAGGAAGAAUGUCCUAUGGAUUGUAAACUGCUUUUGCAGAGGAAUAAAGUGAGCCACGUGUGGUUUUUGUAUGUACUCUGCGAAUAAGGAUCGGCUAACUCCGUG